Molecule: long non-coding RNA, 1004 nt
Filed under: Salmo salar (Atlantic salmon)
Lineage: Eukaryota; Metazoa; Chordata; Actinopteri; Salmoniformes; Salmonidae
Description: lncRNA (ENSSSAG00000094074.1, ENSSSAG00000094344.1)
Source: RNAcentral
CUGGGAAUCACCAGGAAAGUAUCAGUCUCUACAUAAUUGACUUGCCUCACUCUCCCCUGGUUCUUGGCCAUCCUUGGUUAAAACUGCACAAUUCACAGAUUGAUUGGACCACCGGAAAGAUAACCAAUUGGAGUUAAUUUUGUCACUCAAAUUGUCUUCGUUCUGCCCUUGCCCCUGCCUUGUCUGUGCCCCAGUCCAUUCCAGAAUUCCGGACCUGUCAUCAGUUCCUCUCGAGUAUCACGAUCUAGCUCCUGUGUUCAACAAGCGCCACGCCCUGUUGCUGCCGCCUCAUCGGCCGUACAACUGCACCAUUGACCUCCAGCCUAGAGCUCCACUCCCCUGUACCCCGAGCAGGAGGCUAUGGAGGGGUACAUCCAGGAUUCCCUGGCUGCAGGACAUAUCAGGCCUUGUUCCUCUCCGUUCUGUCCCCUCUGACUCUGGUCCCUGUCUCCAGUCCCAUGUCUCGUCAGUCCUGCUACCCUGUCCUGGACCCCCCACUCUACUGCUUCCUUGGAUUCCUCUCCGGACCUGCUUACCCAGCCCCAUCUCCCCUCGCUCUAGCCUCAGUACCUGGCUCCCUGCAACCCGACCGAGCUUUCCCUGCCUGCGCCUCAUCUUCACCCUGUUUUUCAAUAAAUACAAUACACCUUAUCCUGGUCUUAUUCUGGUCUGGUCUUGGGUUCACCUGCUCCGCUCCGCAUAACACUAGGAAAGCUGUUCUCAUGGAUAUCAUGGUUCAGAUAGAUGCUAUCAGGUUACAGGUCAUGACAGGUACGCUGUUGUGGAAUGAAACUGUUCCCCCAAUAAAACCUAGAAACUUCCUGCCAUCUCUUAACUUUCCUCUCUGCUCUGCUGUUCAAAGGUCUCAGAGUAAACAUUUUUCAGCAUUAAAGAUGAAGAUCAGGACCACAUGGGGCCUGGCUACGUAGUGGAGCACCGUUCAUGCCAUGCCUCAAUUCUCCCACCCUGCCUCCUCAAAAUCAUCUCCUCUUUCAGACGGCCAG